This 185-nucleotide ribosomal RNA is filed under the name uncultured bacterium. RNAcentral's name for it is "partial 16S ribosomal RNA". It matches the Rfam family "Bacterial small subunit ribosomal RNA", at positions 355 to 532 of the family's 1533-position model. The record is from RNAcentral.
UAGGGAAUUUUCGUUCAAUGGGCGCAAGCCUGAACGAGCAAUGCCGCGUGAACGAGGAAGGUCUUCGGAUCGUAAAGUUCUGUUGAAGGGGAAAAAGAGCGGAGAGAGGAAAUGGUCUCCGAUUGAUAUUACCCUUCGAGGAAGUCACGGCUAACUACGUGCCAGCAGCGCGGUAAUAUCUGUCU